RNAcentral lists this long non-coding RNA (2024 nucleotides) under Pan troglodytes (chimpanzee). RNAcentral describes it as "lincRNA". The record is from RNAcentral. Lineage: Eukaryota; Metazoa; Chordata; Mammalia; Primates; Hominidae.
GAAGAGGGGCUGGCUCUCAGUCCCCGCCUCGCGGGGGGUGCCUCCCCCCCUGCGAUGGGGGUCCUAAGAGCCAGAAGGCUUAGAGGGGCUGGCUCUGAGCCCACGCCUCGCGAGGUGCCUCCCCACCUUGCGAUCGGGGUUCCAAGAGCCAGGGGGAAGAGGGGCUGGCUCUCUUUGUGGAUGAUUCUUUUUCCAUUCUCAGGCAGUUUUCUUUUUUCUUUCUUUCUUUUUUUUUUUGAGACUGAGUCUUGUUCUGUUGCCCAUGCUUUGCUGGAUCUCAGGUGACUGCAACCACUGCCUCCCAGGUUCAAGAGAUUCUCCUGCCUCAGCCUCCUGAGUAGCUGCGACUAGAGGCGUGUGUCACCACACCCAGCUAAUUUUUGUAUUCUUAGUAGAGAUGGGGUUUCACCAUGUUUGCCAGGAUGGUCUCUAUCUCCUGACCUUGUGAUCCACCCACCUCAGCCUCCCAACGUGCUGGGAUUGCAGGUGCGAGCCACCGGGUCCAGCCUUUCAGGCGAUUUUCAUACCUGCAUACUCUGAUCACUACUCUGUUAAACAGUCAAGGAGGCUAAGUAUUAUCUUCAGAUUUCCAGAGCUCUGUCUCUGUACAGCCCUCUCCUCCUCAAUGUUCUGCCCUAUGAAUUCUAGCCACAUUGGCCUUCCCAGACUCACAGUUCUGUCCUCUCAACUCAGGAAGAUCUCUGAGCUCCAUCUGCAUUCUUUCUUCCUGUGCUGUGGCCUGGAAAGUUUUCUAAGGUGUUUGGGAGGUCAAUUGUGGGGCUAGCCUCAUUGGUUUCUCAUUUCUUGAGGAUCACUGCCUUUUGAUGCUUGAUUCCAGUGAUUGAUUCCCUUUGUUGCUUGAGGGCCAUAGUUUCAUAUAUUUUGUCCAGUAUUUUUGUUGUUUUAGGUCAGAAAGGAAUUUUGGUCUCUGUUACUCCAUCUUGGCCAGAAGUGUAAGACCUAAGCAUUUACACAUCAAAAUACUGCACACGUAAUUUUAGUUUAAGCUACUUUUUAAAAAAUCUCCUUCAUUUUCCAUUUAGCAUUCUAUUUAGGGUAUUACAUUGGUUUUUUUGAAAUUCUGUUAUUGGCAGUUUCUAUUGCCUAUCAAUCCCAUUUAAAGAUAGUGCAUAGGGUAUUCUAAAAUAGCUGUUAAGCAGAGAGAAAAUUGGGCCUGAUAGGGUGAGAAUCACAGCUCUAAUACCUAGAGUGACCUUAUAAUGUAUUGUCCAAAGGAGAUAUUUUUGACAGUGAAAGAGGGUGUUGUUAGUAAUUAUAUCAGGACCAUGGCCUAAACCAGGACUAUCCCAGGCAGCCUGGGACAUAUUUGUACCCCAUCUCUAUUUAAUGCCUUUAUACAAUUCUUUACUUAAUUCUACCAGCCUUUAUUGAGCCUGCUUUCUUUGUCUAGCUGAAUGCCACGUGCUGACAUCACUAAGAUCAAUACAGCAAACUCUGAAAGAUGGACAGAGAGACAGGAGAUCGUCCUUUAUAAUUCAGUGUGAUCUGUGCUGCAAUAGAGUUUUGGAAGCUAGAAGUUCAAAAUGAGGUGUUGGCAGCACCAUGCUCUCUCUGAAGAUGCUAGGAAGAAUCUGCUCCAUGCCUUUCCAUUCGCUUCUGGGGUUUCCUGCAAGCCCUGACAUUCCUUGGCUUGUAGAUGCAUCACCCCAGUUUCUGCCCCCAUCAUCACAUGGCCUCCUCUCUGCGUGUGCCUCUGCGUUCCCUCUAUUCUUCUUCUAAGGACACCGACACCAGUCAUAGUGGAUUAAGGAUCCACUCCUAACUAAUUACAUCUGCAACAACCGUAUUUCCAAAUAAAGUCACAUUCUAAGAUUCCUAGGGAGAACAUGAAUUUUUGGGGGUGUGUGGAUACUGUUCAACCUGGGACAUGGAGUAAAUAAAUGGCAAGGAAGAUUACAGAUGACUUUAAGCUAAAGAGGGAGAUAGGGUUAAAUGUAGGACUUUUUUUUUUUUCCAGGACGGGAGAGGUUUAAACAUGUUACUACAUUGAAUAAAUGAAAUAA